This 897-nucleotide ribosomal RNA is filed under the name Triticum aestivum (bread wheat). Its description in RNAcentral is "partial small subunit ribosomal RNA". The record is from RNAcentral. Lineage: Eukaryota; Viridiplantae; Streptophyta; Magnoliopsida; Poales; Poaceae.
AUGAGAAUUACCAUUGCCGAGUGCAAGGAAAGAACCGCUAGAUUGUGUGCUAAGAAAGAUAGCUUUAUUGACGUGUCCCCUAUUAGAUCUUUGUUUUUCAAUAUGAAUCUUGAAAAUUAUGGGACUGAAGAUGAGUCAACUUUACCUAAAAGGCGUCCCAAAAAUUCGGAAUUUUUACAUCUUGAUGCUAAAUUUGGUAAAAGUGCGAUUGGAGAGGUCAUGACUUUAAAUAGCAUUGAACCCACUGUCUCGGAUUUCAAGGAAUUUGAUUAUGAUAAUUUUUCUUUAGAAAGUUGUAUUUCCUUGUUGCAAUCCUUUGUUAAUUCUCCACAUGCUUAUAGUCAAAAUAAAGCUUUUACCAAAUAUAUAGUUGAUGCCUUGAUGCAAUCUUUUGAUGAAAAACUUAAUUUGGAAGUUUCUAUACCUAGAAAACUUAAUGAUGAGUGGGAACCUACUAUAAAUAUUAGAAUUAAAGAUUAUGAGUUUUUUGCUUUGUGUGAUUUGGGUUCUAGUGUUUCCACGAUUCCAAAAACUUUAUGUGAUAUUCUAGGUUUCCUUGAUCUUGAUGAUUGCUCUUUAAAUUUGAACCUUGCGGAUUCCACCAUUAAAAAACCAAUAGGAAGGAUCAAUGAUGUCCUUAUUGUUGCAAAUAGAAAUUUGGUGCCCGUUGAUUUCAUCGUUCUUGAUAUAGAUUGCAAUCUUUCUUGCCCUAUUAUUCUUGGUAGACCUUUCCUUAGAACGAUUGGUGCGAUUAUUGAUAUGAAGGAAGGGAAUAUUAGAUUCCAAUUUCCAUUAAAGAAAGGCAUGGAGCACUUUCAAAGAAAGAAAGUCAAAUUACCUUAUGAAUCUAUCAUGCGAGCUACCUAUGAGCCAAGUGCCAAAGAUGGCACAACUUAG